Molecule: long non-coding RNA, 277 nt
Filed under: Phoenix dactylifera (date palm)
Lineage: Eukaryota; Viridiplantae; Streptophyta; Magnoliopsida; Arecales; Arecaceae
Description: long non-coding RNA (PDAC_LNC000765)
Source: RNAcentral
GUUCAAGAGAAACUGACCUCUUUGUCUCUUUUUUGGCAACAUUUUGGCCAUUGUUCAUAGUCUUGAUGUUUCUGUAUGCAGGAAUUCGAGAUUCAAGCCAGCAACCACUCAUAGCUCAUCUGCUGUGACCCUACCUGAUCCCCCAGCCUCUCCAAGCCAUCUAGCUGCAGAAGGCUCAUCAGCAAACAAUGCACUGACCCUACCUGAUCCCCCAGCCUCAGUUAGGACUGCCACCAAAGAGCAAGACAUGAUUGACCUUCUGAGCAUCACCUUGGCA